AGAUGCAACAUAAAAAUUUCAGAGACAGAAGAAAUCUUCCUUUGAGGGCAGUGAUACACUUAUGUGAGAUUUUGAAAAGUGAAAAAUCAAAGGUGGAAUUGACCAGUAGAUGUAAAAGUACAACAAAUAAACAAAAAUGGCAAUGUUGAAAGUGAAACUGAAAUUCAACAGAAAUAAAAGAAAUAGCAGACUGGGGGGAUAUUGACUUUGACACCAUGAUGCCAGAGGAACUUAGUGAUGGCAAACUUAUCAAUAUAAAAUGAGGAUAUUGGUUGUCAACUAGGUUGUGUGGUGGUCCUUGAUCUUGUCCAUCAAGUCCUUUUUCCCAAAGGAUAACUGAAGAAGAUCACAUACAUUCCAACUUAUUGAGUCUGAUAGGUAUUCAUCUGAUGAGCUCCUCUUCAACUGAGGAUUGAAAUGCUGUUUUUCUUCCCUGGUACAAUGUUAAAGCUUUAAACUCUUGUCAAUGAUGUGAUGUUUCAUCUGCAAUGAUCUACACUAGAAAAAUAAAAAUGUAGUUACUGACAAAAAAGCAGACCCCAGACUCAGCUGUCAGAGAGGAGAAGCAGCUGGAUGCUCGGGACUAAGGCUGGACACUGGAGAGAAACGGCUUGACUUCCGAGGGACAGCUUGAUGGUGUAACUUCAGAUAAUAAUCUAAUCUAAAGGGGAAGAUUCUUCAGGGGAAGAUUACCUGCCUACCCCAUACCUUUUUCAGCUCCCCUACCUGCUGAGAGCUACUUUUUUCAGCAAUAAAAUCCCACACAUUUACUAUCCUUCAAUUUGUUCAUUUGACCUCAUUUUUUCUGGACAUCAGACAAGAGCUCAGGAGCCACAAGUGGGGAUACAAAAGGCUCUCACACUGGCCCUUUGCACUCAUGGG
RNAcentral lists this long non-coding RNA (882 nucleotides) under Homo sapiens (human). RNAcentral's name for it is "long intergenic non-protein coding RNA 1821". The record is from RNAcentral. Lineage: Eukaryota; Metazoa; Chordata; Mammalia; Primates; Hominidae.